UGUACAUUUGUUCAGCUCAGUAGUCAUGUCAUAUUCUUUAUGGUGUACCUGCAGUGUUCUUUAAAAUACAUUUCCUCAUUGACAGUCAUCUGCCUACACAUGUGUAUAUAGUUAACUAAUCAGUGCUUUUUCAUGAUAUAGUCUAUUGGGGUUAGAAAUUAGAUUUUAUGACUUGUUGACAAAUCUAUCAUAAAAAAAAAUAUGUGUCCUGACUCUGACACUGCUUUCAAGUAGCUGGUGUUUCCUGUUCUGACAACCUGUAGAAAAAAGUGACUUUAAUAUGCAGAAUUUUGAAUAUAAAUGACUUUUUUAAUUAUAUCAUAGCAGAGAUAAUGGUCCUGGGCAAGCUGCUCUAGGUGGCCCUUCUUGAGCAAGGGAUUGGACAAGAUGACCUCCAGUGGUCCCUUCCAGCCAUUCUGUGAUUCUGUGAGAAAACUUCUGUCACCUCGCAAUCUAGAAUCUUGACAGUUUUCAAACACAAUUAUGCAUUUACAUGUUGAUGCUGCAAGAGCUGAAGAAGAAAUCUUCUGCAGAUUCAUGCAGGUGUAUAUACACACACUCACACCCUCUACUUCAUGGAGAGGAAGAACACAUUUAAACAGGAAAGGAAUAUUGUCAGGCAUUGCAAGAGUGUUCCAGUUCCCUGACAGUAACUCUAGGAUUUCAGCACACCUGCCUAUGGAGAGGCUCCUACUGCAGCUUCUGAAGCCACACGACUUGCAGUCAGAGAACUCCAGCAUGUAAGCAUUAACCUUCUGUUUUCAUAGAUUACCCAGCAAUGUCUGGACACAUAAUUACUUAUUGCUGGGCAUUGUAUUCCUGCAUUCCCUAUGGAUCCUACAAACUACUUAGUUUUCUUGCAGGCACUGGUGGUUCUGCUGACAUCAACUAGAGCCAGGUGAAAAUGAAUUUAUUGUUAAAAAGUGAUGAGGAAACUGAUUGGGCUUUUUUCUGAAGAUGGAGGCAGGUCAGCCCAAUGAAACCUUUCCAAAUAAAUUUUCAAAAAAAAAAUCGGAAGCA
This 1020-nucleotide long non-coding RNA is filed under the name Anas platyrhynchos platyrhynchos (common mallard). RNAcentral's name for it is "lncRNA (ENSAPLG00000030754.1)". The record is from RNAcentral. Lineage: Eukaryota; Metazoa; Chordata; Aves; Anseriformes; Anatidae.